This 67-nucleotide transfer RNA is filed under the name Nerita melanotragus. Its description in RNAcentral is "tRNA-Trp". The record is from RNAcentral. Lineage: Eukaryota; Metazoa; Mollusca; Gastropoda; Cycloneritida; Neritidae.
AGAAUCUUAGGUUAACUCAAACCCUUAGCCUUCAAAGCUUAAAUUAAACUUUAUUGUUUAGCUUCUG